AACAGUCUCUUCCUUUUUUUCUUUUUUCUCUAUUCGUCCUAUGUUUUUAAAAUUAUUUAUCGCAUCGUGUUCCUUUGUACGGCGAAUGAUUAUUCACUCACGAUCAAUGAAAAAAUGUUGAAAGAAAGAAGGUUGUAUUAAUUUUGUCCAGAAUUGGGUUACAAAUUUGUAUAAUCUAUUCGUUUAACAUUUCUUAUUUUUAUAGAUGAUGAUAACAACUAAAAAGAUAACGAGAAGGCUGGAGAGGUGGAGUGUAAGUUUUAUCUGAAAGUAUGCGAAUAUAACGGAGGAACGAAUCACUCGGAGAAAGGUCGCGAGAAGAGAGGAGGAAAUGCGCGACGUUGCUUCCAAGAGUACUGGAGCAGAACUGAGGUUCACCACCUUGUGCUGGGGAGGACAACGGGAGGAAGAGGAACGUGCCUUUCUGUAUAGAACUACACGCAGAAACGUCUUACGUUAGUAUGCGAGAACUUCUGUUUUGGUAGGGGGAAGAAAGAGAACUCGAGGAAACUUGGAAGAGGAAAGAUAAUCCUUGGAACAAACAACGUUUGAAAAUAAGGAAUCCUGAACGAUAUCGGUAGAGUCGGGAAUUUGGAUCGCUACCAAAUCCGGAUCCACAGUAAGUAUUAUUCGCGUGCUCGUACGUUUUGAAGAAAUAAAGGAUAGACUAUCAAGUAGGGGGAACCUUUGCUGAUGGCAGA
RNAcentral lists this long non-coding RNA (701 nucleotides) under Polistes fuscatus (common paper wasp). Its description in RNAcentral is "uncharacterized LOC122516634". Lineage: Eukaryota; Metazoa; Arthropoda; Insecta; Hymenoptera; Vespidae. The record is from RNAcentral.